Molecule: ribosomal RNA, 497 nt
Filed under: uncultured bacterium
Lineage: Bacteria
Description: partial 16S ribosomal RNA
Rfam family: Bacterial small subunit ribosomal RNA
Source: RNAcentral
GAUGAACGCUGGCGGCGUGCCUAAUACAUGCAAGUCGAGCGAACAGAUGAGGAGCUUGCUCCUCUGACGUUAGCGGCGGACGGGUGAGUAACACGUGGAUAACCUACCUAUAAGACUGGGAUAACUUCGGGAAACCGGAGCUAAUACCGGAUAAUAUCUUGAACCGCAUGGUUCAAUAGUGAAAGACGGUUUUGCUGUCACUUAUAGAUGGAUCCGCGCCGCAUUAGCUAGUUGGUAAGGUAACGGCUUACCAAGGCGACGAUGCGUAGCCGACCUGAGAGGGUGGUCGGCCACACGGGAACUGAGACACGGUCCAGACUCCUACGGGAGGCAGCAGUAGGGAAUCUUCCGCAAUGGGCGAAAGCCUGACGGAGCAACGCCGCGUGAGUGAUGAAGGUCUUCGGAUCGUAAAACUCUGUUAUUAGGGAAGAACAAAUGUGUAAGUAACUAUGCACGUCUUGACGGUACCUAAUCAGAAAGCCACGGCUAACUACGUG